GUGACCAUAGGCAGCAGUCU
RNAcentral lists this small nuclear RNA (20 nucleotides) under Arabidopsis thaliana (thale cress). RNAcentral's name for it is "snRNA_18442". The record is from RNAcentral. Lineage: Eukaryota; Viridiplantae; Streptophyta; Magnoliopsida; Brassicales; Brassicaceae.